CCGACGGUGAGGGAUGAAAGCUGGGGGCACGAACCGGAUUAGAUACCCGGGUAGUCCCAGCCGUAAACGAUGCUCGCUAGGUGUCAGGCAUGGCGCGACCGUGUCUGGUGCCGCAGGGAAGCCGUGAAGCGAGCCACCUGGGAAGUACGGCCGCAAGGCUGAAACUUAAAGGAAUUGGCGGGGGAGCACAACAACGGGUGGAGCCUGCGGUUUAAUUGGACUCAACGCCGGACAACUCACCGGGGGCGACAGCAAUAUGUAGGCCAAGCUGAAGACUUUGCCUGAAUCGCUGAGAGGAGGUGCAUGGCCAUCGCCAGUUCGUACUG
RNAcentral lists this ribosomal RNA (326 nucleotides) under uncultured archaeon. RNAcentral describes it as "bacterial SSU rRNA". It matches the Rfam family "Archaeal small subunit ribosomal RNA", at positions 691 to 1016 of the family's 1478-position model. The record is from RNAcentral.